UACGUAGGGUGCAAGCGUUACUCGGAAUUACUGGGCGUAAAGCGUGCGCAGGCGGUUUUGUAAGUCUGUCGCGAAAUCCCCGGGCUCAACCUGGGAAUUGCGAUGGAGACUGCAAGGCUAGAAUCUGGCAGAGGGGGGUAGAAUUCCACGUGUAGCAGCGAAAUGCGUAGAGAUGUGGAGGAACACCGAUGGCGAAGGCAGCCCCCUGGGUCAAGAUUGACGCUCAUGCACGAAAGCGUGGGGAGCAAACAGG
This 253-nucleotide ribosomal RNA is filed under the name uncultured bacterium. RNAcentral's name for it is "partial 16S ribosomal RNA". It matches the Rfam family "Bacterial small subunit ribosomal RNA", at positions 524 to 776 of the family's 1533-position model. The record is from RNAcentral.